Molecule: ribosomal RNA, 424 nt
Filed under: uncultured Halobacteriales archaeon
Lineage: Archaea; Methanobacteriati; Methanobacteriota; Halobacteria; Halobacteriales
Description: bacterial SSU rRNA
Rfam family: Archaeal small subunit ribosomal RNA
Source: RNAcentral
CCUACGGGAUGCAGCAGGCGCGAAAACUUUACAAUGCACGAAAGUGUGAUAAGGGAAUCCUAAGUGCUCAGGCAUUGCCUGGGCUUUUGCCAUAUGUAAAUAGUAUGGCGAAUAAGUAGUGGGUAAGACUGGUGCCAGCCGCCGCGGUAACACCAGCGCUACGAGUGGCAAUCACGUUUAUUGGGCCUAAAGCGUCCGUAGCAGGUUUUGUAAAUUUUUUGUGAAACUGCCAAGCUUAACUUGGCAAUGUGCAGGAAACACUGCAAGACUUGAGACCGGGAAGGGUCGGAGGUAUUCCUGAGGGAGCGGUAAAAUGCUAUAAUCUCAGGAGGACCACCGGUGGCGAAGGCGUCCGACUAGAACGGAUCUGACUGUGAGGGACGAAAGCCAGGGGAGCAAACCGGAUUAGAUACCCGCGUAGUCC